RNAcentral lists this ribosomal RNA (253 nucleotides) under uncultured bacterium. RNAcentral's name for it is "partial 16S ribosomal RNA". It matches the Rfam family "Bacterial small subunit ribosomal RNA", at positions 524 to 776 of the family's 1533-position model. The record is from RNAcentral.
UACGAAGGGGGCUAGCGUUGCUCGGAAUGACUGGGCGUAAAGGGCGCGUAGGCGGCUUGUAUAGUCGGAUGUGAAAUCCCUCAGCUUAACUGGGGAACUGCGUCCGAUACUGGAUGGCUUGGAUUUGGGAGAGGGAUGCGGAAUUCCAGGUGUAGCGGUGAAAUGCGUAGAUAUCUGGAGGAACACCGGUGGCGAAGGCGGCAUCCUGGACCAAUAUUGACGCUGAGGAGCGAAAGCCAGGGGAGCAAACGGG